AACGAACGCUGGCGGCGCGCCUAAUACAUGCAAGUCGAGCGAGAAGACGUAGCAAUACGUUUGUAAAGCGGCGAACGGGUGAGGAAUACAUGGGUAACCUACCCUCGAGUGGGGAAUAACUAGCCGAAAGGUUAGCUAAUACCGCGUACGCUCCUUGGACUUCGGUUCAGGGAGGAAAGCGAUACCGUGGGUAUCGCGCUCUUGGAUGGGCUCAUGUCCUAUCAGCUUGUUGGUGAGGAACGGCUCACCAAGGCUUCGACGGGUAGCUGGUCUGAGAGGACGAUCAGCCACACUGGCACUGCGACACGGGCCAGACUCCUACGGAGGCAGCAGUAAGGAUAUUGCGCAAUGGGCGAAAGCCUGACGCAGCGACGCCGCGUGGGGGAUGAAGGU
Molecule: ribosomal RNA, 393 nt
Filed under: uncultured bacterium
Lineage: Bacteria
Description: bacterial SSU rRNA
Rfam family: Bacterial small subunit ribosomal RNA
Source: RNAcentral